GGAGCGUCCUGUGAGGGAGGGGCUGCACUGCCACUUUACUGAUGAGGAAAUUAAGGUUCAGAGAGAUGAGGUCAUUUGUUAGAGGCCAGACAGCCUCCUCAGCCCAUUUCUAAGGUUGUUUCUGUGGUAUUUGCCAUAAAGCCAUAGGUUCAUUGAUUUGUUCUUAAGUAGUUCUGAGUCCUUCCUGCAUAUCAGGCAGGGACAAACGGGAAAGUCCCUGCCCUUGGCAAGUGCGGGGGAAAUGAAAUGAUUCUGCUCAGCCUCAUCCAUUGGUCUGAACAAUCACGUCUCAUGACCCCAGGGACACGGCUUCCCCUGAACGCGGAUCCUAGAGGCCAGGCAGAAGCAGCAUGGGUUUCCACUCACACGAUUUAUCUACUGCUCGUGAAAUCUCUGGAUUUAACUGUGAUGAAAGACCGGAGGCUGAAGGAGAACUUCAAUAUCAUAUAUUUUAAAGGUUGACUCACAGUUUGGAACAAGAAUUAAAGAACCACGAACUUCAAGGUGAUGUAAAAUUCUCAAACAAUGAGAUAGAUAAAAAGUACGCAGCCAAAAAGUGCAGGAAGAAGUGUUAUGGAGAUGGAGCAGGCCCUUCGUAAAAACACGAUGUUGGUUUUCUGGAUUUUGUAUGU
Long non-coding RNA from Homo sapiens (human), 632 nucleotides. NCBI's taxonomy places the organism in Eukaryota, Metazoa, Chordata, Mammalia, Primates, Hominidae. The record is from Ensembl.